GACGAACGCUGGCGGCGUGCUUAACACAUGCAAGUCGAACGGAAAGGCCCUGCUUUUGUGGGGUGCUCGAGUGGCGAACGGGUGAGUAACACGUGAGUAACCUGCCCUUGACUUUGGGAUAACUUCAGGAAACUGGGGCUAAUACCGGAUAGGAGCUCCUGCUGCAUGGUGGGGGUUGGAAAGUUUCGGCGGUUGGGGAUGGACUCGCGGCUUAUCAGCUUGUUGGUGGGGUAGUGGCUUACCAAGGCUUUGACGGGUAGCCGGCCUGAGAGGGUGACCGGCCACACUGGGACUGAGAUACGGCCCAGACUCCUACGGGAGGCAGCAGUGGGGAAUAGUGCACAAUGGGCGGAAGCCUGAUGCAGCAACGCCGCGUGCGGGAUGACGGCCUUCGGGUUGUAAACCGAUUUCGCCUGUGACGAAGCGUGAGUGACGGUAAUGGGUAAAGAAGCACCGGCUAACUACGUG
This 468-nucleotide ribosomal RNA is filed under the name uncultured bacterium. RNAcentral's name for it is "partial 16S ribosomal RNA". It matches the Rfam family "Bacterial small subunit ribosomal RNA", at positions 28 to 507 of the family's 1533-position model. The record is from RNAcentral.